This 606-nucleotide ribosomal RNA is filed under the name uncultured fungus. Its description in RNAcentral is "eukaryotic LSU rRNA". It matches the Rfam family "Eukaryotic large subunit ribosomal RNA", at positions 23 to 641 of the family's 3401-position model. The record is from RNAcentral. Lineage: Eukaryota; Fungi.
ACCCGCUGAACUUAAGCAUAUCAAUAAGCGGAGGAAAAGAAACCAACAGGGAUUGCCCUAGUAACGGCGAGUGAAGCGGCAACAGCUCAAAUUUGAAAUCUGGCGUCUUUGGCGUCCGAGUUGUAAUUUGUAGAGGAUGCUUUUGGGUUGCCACCGGUCUAAGUUCCUUGGAACAGGACGUCAUAGAGGGUGAGAAUCCCGUAUGUGACCGGCUUAGGCACCCUUUGUAAAGCUCCUUCGACGAGUCGAGUUGUUUGGGAAUGCAGCUCUAAAUGGGAGGUAAAUUUCUUCUAAAGCUAAAUACCGGCCAGAGACCGAUAGCGCACAAGUAGAGUGAUCGAAAGAUGAAAAGCACUUUGGAAAGAGAGUUAAAAAGCACGUGAAAUUGUUGAAAGGGAAGCGCUUGCAAUCAGACUUGCCCGCGGUUGUUCAGCCGGUCUUCUGACCGGUUUACUCUUCCGUGGGCAGGCCAGCAUCAGUUUCGGCGGCCGGAUAAAGGCCUUGGGAAUGUAGCACCCCCUCGGGGGUGUGUUAUAGCCUAGGGUGUAAUACGGCCUGCUGGGACUGAGGUCCGCGCUUCGGCUAGGAUGCUGGCGUAAUGGUUGU